Oryctolagus cuniculus (rabbit) is the source of this 1322-nucleotide non-coding RNA. The record is from RefSeq and is a predicted model, not a curated record. NCBI's taxonomy places the organism in Eukaryota, Metazoa, Chordata, Mammalia, Lagomorpha, Leporidae.
GCUGGCGUUGAGGGUGGCGGCUUCACCCAUGGCACCGCAGUGCCAGCCCCUUGAUGCUGCCUCUGCCACUCCCAGGCCCCUCGGCCAGUGGGGUGAAGUCACAGGAAGAAAGAUCGCAGGCACGGCAAAAGAGGACUUCCCAGAUCCACCUGGCUCACCAGCAGGUCGUCUCAGGAGGUGGCGAGAUGCCCACCACUGGAGGUGUGCAAGGUGAGGCCCCUGACAAAGGGGCUGCUUGCUACAGGAGACUGGAUUCCAUUGUGACAAAAGCUGUGAGGUGGACUUGGGUCAGAGCCUCUGGGGUAGAGCCCCAGCUCCACGGUUUACUCACUGUGUGGCCUUGGGCAAGUAGCUAGGUCUCUCUGUGCUUCCGUUUCUCACGUGCAGAAUGGAGGGGUGUGAGGCUCGCGUGGAAGUGCACAGGGCUGGGAUGUCAUGCUUGCUUGUGUGCCCUCCUGCCUCCUGCCUGCUGGGCUGCCCCCCGCCCCCGCCCGGCUCCCUCUUGGCUCAUCCUCUGCAAGCUGGCCCUCAACACUCAACACAGGUGCACCGUCAGCUGCACGCCAACCCUUCUUGUCCAGGACUCCAUCAGGUCCCGUGGCCUUGAACCCCACCAGCGAUUGCCAAAGGCACCUCCUCAGGUUCAGUUGAAGAGGCCCUGGCACUGGUUCGAGUCCCGGCUGCUCCACUUCUGAUCCAGCUCUCUGCUGUGGCCUGGGAAAGCAGUGGAAGAUGGCCCAAGUGCUUGGGCCCCUGUACCCAUGUGGGAGACCUGGAAGAAGCUUCUGGCUCCUGGCUUUGGAUCAGCACAGCUCUGGCCAUGGAUGGAAUACCUCUCUCUCUGUCUCUCCCUCUCACUGUCUAUAACUCUACUUCUUAAAUAAAUAUUUUUUUUUUAAAAGAGGCCCUGUGAGUAGAAAUGUCACCUGUCACUUGUCACUCAGUGCUGAGAAUGGUGUCUGGGUCAUAAGAGAUAAUUAGGACGCGUUAGUUGAUUGCAUUAAUGAGUUUUAUUUAUUUUUACAAUCCUCCUUGAUGAAUGGAUAGCUGGUGUCAUUGUUUUUCCAUUUUAGCUAGGGAUAUCCAGUUUCCUUUGAAGAAUAAAGCAAGAAGGAUCUGAUAAGAGACUUGUGUCUAGAAUGCGUGAGAACUCAUCUAUAAAAAGAGAAAUACAAUUUAAAAAGUGGGCAAAGGAUUGAACGGACAUUUAUCCAAGUGUGCCCAAAAGCACACGAAGGGGUGUGCAGCAUCCUUGUGGGAGAAACACAAAUCCAACCCGCAGGGAGACACCCGCUGGGACCACAGUGCGUUAUUCCGGCGUU